Oryza glumipatula is the source of this 107-nucleotide non-coding RNA. The record is from Rfam. NCBI's taxonomy places the organism in Eukaryota, Viridiplantae, Streptophyta, Magnoliopsida, Poales, Poaceae.
AUCCCAUGAUGAGGACAGACGGCGACAUAUUCCUGUAGUCUUUCCCAAGCUUCAGGAAUGGUUUCAUCCCUCGUCUGCUGGAAGCUGGAUAUUCUUCCACGAAGAGC